Long non-coding RNA from Pteropus alecto (black flying fox), 945 nucleotides. RefSeq lists it as uncharacterized. Lineage: Eukaryota; Metazoa; Chordata; Mammalia; Chiroptera; Pteropodidae. The transcript has 5 exons. The record is from RefSeq and is a predicted model, not a curated record.
CCCCCGGCGCGCCCCUCACGGUGUCCAGCGCGUACGCGGCUUGUGGAGCACCAGGCUGAGGUCGGUGACCUGACCUCGGGCCCAGCUUGUUUUCUUUCCUGCCUGUGGCUUUUGCCUAGCGCAGAUUUGGCGCCAAGCACUGUUUCUUCAUUCAACAAACAUGCAUUGAGCAACAAUCAUACGCCAGAAAAUAAAACUAGGUUGAGCAUAAGUAAAUGGAUUCCCAGGGAUAUCCCACACCAAGGAAGCAGAGAUGCCCUGGGGCAAAACAAAAAGCAAGAGGUACUCUGUGCAGCCAGCAGGAGGGACUAUCAGGUCACCCGUGCACAAGGCCAGUUGCUGCCGCAAUGACUAAAGUAAAAGAUGAAUCAAGAGGAUGUGAUGUUGGGCAUAAGAAGUGUCUAAUACAACUCUAGAAGCCAGAAGUCCAAAAUCCAUUUCACAGAGCUGAGAUUGAGGAGUGAGCGGGGCCACGCUUCCUCCAGAGGCUCUAGAGAUGGGAAAGCGGAGGCUCAGAGAGGUGAAAAAUAUGCCCAAACCUAGGUCUCUCUGGCUUGGAGUGUCCAACCACUCUGCUACAACUUCAAUUCAAGAGCUCCGUUGUUCACCAAGCUGACUCCUGGCAUCGAAUCUGGCCCUGGCAUCAAUACAUGGCUUCGGGAAACACAGCUGUUUGGAGGAGGCAACACUGUUCACUCAUUUGCCACUUCACCAAGCCAUACGAAUUAAAACACCAUAAGUGUUAGGAGAGCAUUAUGUUGUUACUCUCCCAAAGAAUUUGCUUCUUCCGGACGAUACUUAACAGUGACAGAAUCGCCAAUUCACAAUAGGAGAACCAUGCCCUCCAACAUUCUUCAAAGCACGCUGUUUAGCAACUACGUGAUCGACUUUAAAAUAUUAACAGUAGCCGACAUUUAUUAAAUGCUAAAGACGUGCUGGACACUG